UACGUAGGGUGCAAGCGUUAAUCGGAAUUACUGGGCGUGAAGCGUGCGCAGGCGGUUUUGUAAGUCUGACGUGAAAUCCCCGGGCUCAACCUGGGAAUUGCGUUGGAGACUGCAAGGCUAGAAUCUGGCAGAGGGGGGUAGAAUUCCACGUGUAGCAGUGAAAUGCGUAGAGAUGUGGAGGAACACCGAUGGCGAAGGCAGCCCCCUGGGUCAAGAUUGACGCUCAUGCACGAAAGCGUGGGGAGCAAACAGG
This 253-nucleotide ribosomal RNA is filed under the name uncultured bacterium. Its description in RNAcentral is "partial 16S ribosomal RNA". It matches the Rfam family "Bacterial small subunit ribosomal RNA", at positions 524 to 776 of the family's 1533-position model. The record is from RNAcentral.